RNAcentral lists this ribosomal RNA (497 nucleotides) under uncultured bacterium. RNAcentral describes it as "partial 16S ribosomal RNA". It matches the Rfam family "Bacterial small subunit ribosomal RNA", at positions 28 to 507 of the family's 1533-position model. The record is from RNAcentral.
GAUGAACGCUGGCGGCGUGCCUAAUACAUGCAAGUCGAGCGAACGGACGAGAAGCUUGCUUUUCUGAUGUUAGCGGCGGACGGGUGAGUAACACGUGGAUAACCUACCUAUAAGACUGGGAUAACUUCGGGAAACCGGAGCUAAUACCGGAUAAUAUUUUGAACCGCAUGGUUCAAAAGUGAAAGACGGUCUUGCUGUCACUUAUAGAUGGAUCCGCGCUGCAUUAGCUAGUUGGUAAGGUAACGGCUUACCAAGGCAACGAUGCAUAGCCGACCUGAGAGGGUGAUCGGCCACACUGGAACUGAGACACGGUCCAGACUCCUACGGGAGGCAGCAGUAGGGAAUCUUCCGCAAUGGGCGAAAGCCUGACGGAGCAACGCCGCGUGAGUGAUGAAGGACUUCGGAUCGUAAAACUCUGUUAUUAGGGAAGAACAUAUGUGUAAGUAACUGUGCACAUCUUGACGGUACCUAAUCAGAAAGCCACGGCUAACUACGUG